GAAGUAAUGUAAAAAUUAUA
RNAcentral lists this small nuclear RNA (20 nucleotides) under Arabidopsis thaliana (thale cress). RNAcentral describes it as "snRNA_05395". Lineage: Eukaryota; Viridiplantae; Streptophyta; Magnoliopsida; Brassicales; Brassicaceae. The record is from RNAcentral.